Molecule: ribosomal RNA, 116 nt
Filed under: Methylacidiphilales bacterium
Lineage: Bacteria; Pseudomonadati; Verrucomicrobiota; Methylacidiphilae; Methylacidiphilales
Source: RNAcentral
CCUGGCAUACAUAGCUAGUUGGUACCACCUGAACCCAUCUCGAACUCAGAAGUGAAACGACUAAGCGCCGAUGGUAGUUUGGGGAUCUCCUCACGCGAGAGUAGGUAGUGACAGGC